RNAcentral lists this ribosomal RNA (545 nucleotides) under uncultured fungus from ectomycorrhizal root. Its description in RNAcentral is "eukaryotic LSU rRNA". The stretch from base 192 to 346 matches the Rfam family "5.8S ribosomal RNA". Lineage: Eukaryota; Fungi. The record is from RNAcentral.
UCAUUAUAGAAUUACGAGCGAGGGUUGUCGCUGGCCUCUUUCGGGGGGCAUGUGCACGCCCGAGCUCUUGAAUCCACAACACACCUGUGAACCCACCGUGGGCCCACCUUCACGGGGGGGGGCUUACCUGUAUACACUCUGAAUGUCUCAUAGAAUGUCGAAUUGUUUGCCUUAAAAACGCAAUCGAAUACAACUUUCAACAACGGAUCUCUUGGCUCUCGCAUCGAUGAAGAACGCAGCGAAAUGCGAUAAGUAAUGUGAAUUGCAGAUUUUCAGUGAAUCAUCGAAUCUUUGAACGCACCUUGCGCUCCUUGGUAUUCCGAGGAGCAUGCCUGUUUGAGUGUCAUUUAAAUCAUCAACCUCCGUCGAUCUCUGAUCGGACGGAGGCAUGGACUUUGGAGCGUGCUGGCCUGAGGUCGGCUCCUCUUUAAAUGCAUCACCGGAAGUCCAUUGACGUUUCCCGUCGGUGAUAAUCCUGUACCCCCGUCAGGGUACUCGUUGGGGCUCGCUUAUAAUCGUCUUCGGACAACAUCCUUUUUGACCUC